GAAAUGCGAUAAGUAGUGUGAAUUGCAUAAUUCAGUGAAUCAUCGAAUCUUUGAACGCACAUUGCGCCCCUUGGUAUUCCAUGGGGCAUGCCUGUUCGAGCGUCAUCUACACCCUCAAGCUCUGCUUGGUGUUGGGCGUCUUUGUCCCGCCUCCGCGCGCGGACUCGCCCCAAAUUCAUUGGCAGCGGUCCUUGCCUCCUCUCGCGCAGCACAUUGCGCUUCUCGAGGUGUUGCGGCCCGCGUCCAGAAAGCAAUCGUUACCGUCUUUGACCUCGGAUCAGGUAGGGAUACCCGCUGAACUUAAGC
RNAcentral lists this unclassified non-coding RNA (306 nucleotides) under plant metagenome. RNAcentral's name for it is "partial contains 5.8S ribosomal RNA, internal transcribed spacer 2, and large subunit ribosomal RNA". The stretch from base 1 to 105 matches the Rfam family "5.8S ribosomal RNA", at positions 50 to 154 of the family's 154-position model. The record is from RNAcentral.